Molecule: ribosomal RNA, 484 nt
Filed under: uncultured methanogenic archaeon
Lineage: Archaea; Methanobacteriati; Methanobacteriota
Description: bacterial SSU rRNA
Rfam family: Archaeal small subunit ribosomal RNA
Source: RNAcentral
GGGGAGUACGUCCGCAAGGAUGAAACUUAAAGGAAUUGGCGGGGGAGCACCGCAACGGGAGGAGCGUGCGGUUUAAUUGGAUUCAACACCGGAAAACUCACCAAGGGCGACUGUUACAUGAAAGCCAGGCUAAUGACCUUGCUUGAUUUUCAGAGAGGUGGUGCAUGGCCGUCGUCAGUUCGUACCGUAAGGCGUUCUCUUAAGUGAGAUAACGAACGAGACCCUCACCGAUAAUUGCCAGUCCGAUCCCCGGAUCGGGCGCAAAUUAUAGGGACCGCUGGCGGGGGGUCGGGGGGGGGAGAGGUCAACGGUAGGUCAGUAUGCCCCGAAUCUCUUGGGCUACACGCGCGCUACAAAGGGCAAAACAAUGGGUUCCGACGCCGAGAGGCGGAGGCAAUCCCGAAACCCGUCCGUAGUUCGGAUUGAGGGUUGUAACUCACCCUCAUGAAGCUGGAUUCCGUAGUAAUCGCGAAUCAACAACUCG